RNAcentral lists this ribosomal RNA (266 nucleotides) under uncultured archaeon. RNAcentral's name for it is "partial 16S ribosomal RNA". It matches the Rfam family "Archaeal small subunit ribosomal RNA", at positions 717 to 982 of the family's 1478-position model. The record is from RNAcentral.
AGACGUCUACAUUAGAUACCCGGGUAGUCCCAGCCGUAAACUAUGCGCGUUAGGUGUAUCGGUGACCACGAGUCACCGAGGUGCCGAAGGGAAACCGUGAAACGUGCCGCCGUGGGAAGUACGGUCGCAAGGCUAGAAACUUAAAGGAAUUGGCGGGGAGCACCACAACGGGUGGAGCCUGCGGUUUAAUUGGACUCAACGCCGGGAAGCUCACCGGAUAAGACAGCGGAAUGAUUGCCGGGCUGAAGACUCUGCAUGACUAGCUG